This is a long non-coding RNA of Wasmannia auropunctata (little fire ant), 1430 nucleotides long. RefSeq lists it as uncharacterized. NCBI's taxonomy places the organism in Eukaryota, Metazoa, Arthropoda, Insecta, Hymenoptera, Formicidae. The record is from RefSeq and is a predicted model, not a curated record. The transcript is spliced from 3 exons.
AAUUCCCCGGAACAAGGAAACGCAAUGCAUAAAUUCCAGUCCAGAUACUUUGUCCGCUUUUCUUCUUGGUCAUAAAAUUUUCACGGCGACGUGCAACAUUGCGGAACUAUUUACCGUGUGUGUGCAUUCCGCGAUACGCGAUUAUCGUUGCGGAAACGAAGAAAAUGCCUUCUGCAUUAUUAGGUCGGAGGGAAGAUCGCAUUUGUGAAUCGCAUACUAUCGACACACUCAUCGCAGCAGCGAGAACAAUUUCGCGUUGAUAGACGAUCGAUCUUCAAUUCGAAAAGAGAACGAAGCAAAUCUACAUCGAUGUGUCAAUCUGUUCAGCUAUAUGUCACAUAUAAAUAUACUACUAUCAGUUAUCCGGGGGAAAGAGAAUAUGUAGCGGUGGCAUGACUGAGAGUGCAUGACUUCGAAAAGGUUGUCCGCCGUACAUUCUCGUCAUUGGCCUACAAAAAAAAGAGAGAGAGAGAGAGAGAGAAAACGGGAAAUGGAGGAGAAAAAGAGGCAUAACAGACCCGAGUAAUUCUCUUGCUAUCUCUAUACAUCCCAUUGGACGCGAUGCGUAUGUCCGCUGGAAGGGCUUCGGGGAUUCAGCGUUGCAAGAAAGAGGAACAGAGGGUGUGGCAAAAGGAGCUCUCUUGUCCACGGACAGUCCACGCCGGCGAUGCGGCAUAUCGAUUUUAUUUUUAUCCCCCGACCGCCUUCCCCGUCGAGUUCGCGAAGAGGUCCCGGGUUUUAAAAGAACGCUUUCACCCCUCCGCUCAUUCCACCCUCCUCCCCCCCUUUCUCGACAUCAACCUCACGGGGUGGAAGCGAGAGACCCCGAGUCGCGAAUUGAACGAAAGUUUCGUGCAACCGAGAAGUUCGUUACGAUGCGUUUUCAUCUGCGCUUAGGCCGAAGGGCGCUGCACGUCCUGCGAGCUUCCAAGUAAUUACAUCAGACAUUGGCAUCGAUCGUGAAAGGACUCGGAUUACGCUUUUGAGAACAUUGAAAGGCGCGAGAAUUUCCCCUUUCAAUAGCCUAGAACGUAUGAAAGCUGGAUCGGUAGAUGAUCAGAAAUUGGCUUUUAAGGGGUCAAGGGGUAUGUAUCAUACGAUCCUCACGAGCACCGUUAUUCGAAUUAGAUUCCGUUCCAUUUCAAUACACCCAUUUUAAUGUAUCAAAUUUGCGUUAAAAUAUUCCAUAAAAUUUUGUAGUUAAUUUUGUAAAUAAUAACAGCCGUAUACAAACGUCAAAUCGUACCAGUUAAUUGUUCGCAUAAUUUACAAUAAUAUUAUAUUGUGAAAAUAAUAGAGGCACAUAAAAGCUCCAUUGUUGUCUUUAUUGCCUCAUCCUCGAGAAAUAAAUGGACAUGUCAACGGUAUAUUGCUAUAAGUCUCUUUGUAUAUCGCUGUAUAUAUACAAUAAAUACAUCUCGCAGGAAAAA